AACGAAUGCUGGCGGCGUGCCUAACACAUGCAAGUCGAACGCGAAAGUCCUUCGGGAUGACUAAAGUGGCGCACGGGUGAGUAACACGUAGGUGACCUGCCUUUUAAUGGGGAAUAACCAGAUGAAAAUUUGGCUAAUGCCGCAUACGAAGCACAAAACUAAGAGUAGUGCUUGAAAGAAUGCCUCUGUAUAUGCAUUCGUUAAGAGAUGGGCCUGCGGUACAUUAGCUAGUUGGUGGGGUAAAGGCCUACCAAGGCAACGAUGUAUAUCCGGUCUGAGAGGAUGAUCGGACACACUGGAACUGAGACACGGUCCAGACUCCUACGGGAGGCAGCAGUGGGGAAUAUUGCGCAAUGGGGGAAACCCUGACGCAGCAACGCCGCGUGAGUGAGGAAGGACUUCGGUCUGUAAAGCUCUGUAUAUGAGGAAAAAUGGCAUCUGGUCUAAUAGGCCGGAUGUUUGAUGGUACUCAUAGAGGAAGCACCGGCUAACUUCGUGCCAGCAGCCGCGGUAAUACGAAGGGUGCAAGCGUUGUUCGGAUUUAUUGGGCGUAAAGCGCGCGUAGGUGGACCUGCAAGUCAGAUGUGAAAUCUCGGGGCUCAACCUCGAAACUGCGUCUGAAACUACAGGUCUAGAGUCUCGGAGGGGGAAGGGGAAUUUCGCAUGUAGGGGUAAAAUCCGUAGAUAUGCGAAGGAACACAGAGGCGAAGGCGCCUUCCAAGGACGAGUACUGACACUGAGGCGCGAAAGCGUCCUGAUCAAACAGGAUUAGAUACCCUG
This 780-nucleotide ribosomal RNA is filed under the name uncultured Bdellovibrio sp. Its description in RNAcentral is "bacterial SSU rRNA". It matches the Rfam family "Bacterial small subunit ribosomal RNA", at positions 28 to 789 of the family's 1533-position model. The record is from RNAcentral. Lineage: Bacteria; Pseudomonadati; Bdellovibrionota; Bdellovibrionia; Bdellovibrionales; Pseudobdellovibrionaceae.